UAAUUGUCAGCGGGUCCCGGGACCGAACC
Molecule: non-coding RNA, 29 nt
Filed under: Mus musculus (house mouse)
Lineage: Eukaryota; Metazoa; Chordata; Mammalia; Rodentia; Muridae
Source: RNAcentral